Symphalangus syndactylus (siamang) is the source of this 440-nucleotide long non-coding RNA. RefSeq lists it as uncharacterized. The record is from RefSeq and is a predicted model, not a curated record. Lineage: Eukaryota; Metazoa; Chordata; Mammalia; Primates; Hylobatidae.
CAGAAAGCACUCAAUUCAAAACUCCCAUUUUAAAAAUGAGUACAUUGAGGCCCAAAGAAAAGGGCUAGCCCCAAAUCACACAGUGAGUUAGUGCUGGUACCCAGACCAGAACACAGGUCUCCUGAUUCUUGAUCUUCCCAUGGGAUGGCUUGGAUUUUCUUUGCAAGACAGCUGGAUGUCAAGAAGGCAAAAGAACCAUCUUCCAUGACUCUAAAAGGCUAAGCCUGGAAGACCACAGGGUGGUUUCUGCCAUUUUUAUAUUAGUUACAACAAGUCAUCAGCCAGUAAAGACUCAAGAAAAGAGGAAACUAACUCCACCCUUGACUCACUGAAGCCCUCUAUGUAAAAACAUAUGCCUCUGCCUUGGGAAACCAUGGACACACUUUCAAAUUCUUCAGAUAAUCUGGAGCACACCUAAUCUGGAAAAAAAAAAUGGUUUU